Molecule: ribosomal RNA, 206 nt
Filed under: uncultured Eubacteriales bacterium
Lineage: Bacteria; Bacillati; Bacillota; Clostridia; Eubacteriales
Description: uncultured Clostridiales bacterium partial 16S ribosomal RNA
Rfam family: Bacterial small subunit ribosomal RNA
Source: RNAcentral
UGAGUAGGCGGUUGCAUAUGUCAGAUGUAAAAGGCACAGGCUUAACUUGUGUUAGCAUUUGAAACUGCGCGACUUGAGUGCAGGAGAGGUAAGUGGAAUUCCUAGUGUAGCGGUGAAAUGCGUAGAUAUUAGGAGGAACACCAGUGGCGAAGGCGACUUACUGGACUGUAACUGACGCUGAGUCACGAAAGCGUGGGUAGCAAACA